GCGAGUGAAGCGGCAAAAGCUCAAAUUUGAAAUCUAGCACCUUCGGUGUUCGAGUUGUAAUUUGAAGAUGGUAACCUUGGGUUUGGCUCUUGUCUAUGUUCCUUGGAACAGGACGUCAUAGAGGGUGAGAAUCCCGUCUGAUGAGAUGCCCAUUCCUAUGUAAGGUGCUAUCGAAGAGUCGAGUUGUUUGGGAAUGCAGCUCUAAGUGGGUGGUAAAUUCCAUCUAAAGCUAAAUAUUGGCGAGAGACCGAUAGCGAACAAGUACAGUGAUGGAAAGAUGAAAAGAACUUUGAAAAGAGAGUGAAAAAGUACGUGAAAUUGUUGAAAGGGAAGGGCAUUAGAUCAGACUUGGUGUUUUACGAUUAUCUUCUCUUCUUGAGUUGUGCACUCGUAUUUCACUGGGCCAGCAUCGAUUCGGAUGGCAAGAUAAUGGCAGUUGAAUGUGGCUUCACUUCGGUGGAGUGUUAUAGCUUCUGCUGAUAUUGCCUGUCUGGAUCGAGGGCUGCGUCUUUUGACUAGGAUGCUGGCGUAAUGAUCUAAUGCCGCCCGU
Molecule: ribosomal RNA, 550 nt
Filed under: Hansenula anomala
Lineage: Eukaryota; Fungi; Ascomycota; Saccharomycetes; Phaffomycetales; Wickerhamomycetaceae
Description: Wickerhamomyces anomalus partial large subunit ribosomal RNA
Rfam family: Eukaryotic large subunit ribosomal RNA
Source: RNAcentral